This 507-nucleotide ribosomal RNA is filed under the name uncultured bacterium. Its description in RNAcentral is "bacterial SSU rRNA". It matches the Rfam family "Bacterial small subunit ribosomal RNA", at positions 37 to 507 of the family's 1533-position model. The record is from RNAcentral.
GAACGCGUGGCGGCGUCGACCUAACACAUGCAAGUCGUACGAGAAAUCCCGAGCUUGCUUGGGAGAGUAAAGUGGCGCACGGGUGAGUAACGCGUGGGUAACCCACCUUCGAAUCCGGGAUAACUCCGCGAAAGCGGUGCUAAUACCGGAUAAGACCACAUUCCGUUCGCGGAAAGAGGUAAAAGCUGACCUCUCCAUGGAAGUUAGCGUUCGAGGACGGGCCCGCGUCCUAUCAGCUUGUUGGUGGGGUAAUGGCCUACCAAGGCUGCGACGGGUAGCUGGUCUGAGAGGAUGAUCAGCCACACUGGAACUGGAACACGGUCCAGACUCCUACGGGAGGCAGCAGUGAGGAAUUUUGCGCAAUGGGGGAAACCCUGACGCAGCAACGCCGCGUGGGUGAAGAAGGCUUUCGAGUCGUAAAGCCCUGUCAGGUGGGAAGAAACUCUUCAGCACUAAUAAUGCUGAAGCCUGACGGUACCACCAGAGGAAGCACCGGCCAACUCCGUG